ACGGCUCAGUAACACGUGGCCAAACUACCCUACAGACCGCGAUAACCUCGGGAAACUGAGGCCAAUAGCGGAUAUCACUCUCAGACUGGAGUGUCGAGAGUGAGAAACGUUCCGGCGCUGUAGGAUGUGGCUGCGGCCGAUUAGGUAGAUGGUGGGGUAACGGCCCACCAUGCCGAUAAUCGGUACAGGUUGUGAGAGCAAGAGCCUGGAGACGGUACCUGAGACAAGAUACCGGGCCCUACGGGGCGCAGCAGGCGCGAAACCUUUACACUGCACGACAGUGCGAUAGGGGGACUCCGAGUGUGAGGGCAUAUAGCCCUCGCUUUUCUGUACCGUAAGGUGGUACAGGAACAAGGACUGGGCAAGACCGGUGCCAGCCGCCGCGGUAAUACCGGCAGUCCAAGUGAUGGCCGAUAUUAUUGGGCCUAAAGCGUCCGUAGCUUGCUGUGUAAGUCCAUUGGGAAAUCGACCAGCUCAACUGGUCGGCGUCCGGUGGAAACUACACAGCUUGGGGCCGAGAGACUCAACGGGUACGUCCGGGGUAGGAGUGAAAUCCUGUAAUCCUGGACGGACCACCAAUGGGGAAACCACGUUGAGAGACCGGACCCGACAGUGAGGGACGAAAGCCAGGGUCUCGAACCGGAUUAGAUACCCGGGUAGUCCUGGCUGUAAACAAUGCUCGCUAGGUAUGUCACGCGCCAUGAGCACGUGAUGUGCCGUAGUGAAGACGAAAAGCGAGCCGCCUGGGAAGUACGUCUGCAAGGAUGAAACUUAAAGGAAUUGGCGGGGGAGCACCACAACCGGAGGAGCCUGCGGUUUAAUUGGACUCAACGCCGGGA
This 839-nucleotide ribosomal RNA is filed under the name uncultured archaeon. RNAcentral describes it as "bacterial SSU rRNA". It matches the Rfam family "Archaeal small subunit ribosomal RNA", at positions 85 to 923 of the family's 1478-position model. The record is from RNAcentral.